GCGGCAGGCCUAACACAUGCAAGUCGAACGGUAACAGGAAGAAGCUUGCUUCUUUGCUGACGAGUGGCGGACGGGUGAGUAAUGUCUGGGAAACUGCCUGAUGGAGGGGGAUAACUACUGGAAACGGUAGCUAAUACCGCAUAACGUCGCAAGACCAAAGAGGGGGACCUUCGGGCCUCUUGCCAUCGGAUGUGCCCAGAUGGGAUUAGCUAGUAGGUGGGGUAACGGCUCACCUAGGCGACGAUCCCUAGCUGGUCUGAGAGGAUGACCAGCCACACUGGAACUGAGACACGGUCCAGACUCCUACGGGAGGCAGCAGUGGGGAAUAUUGCACAAUGGGCGCAAGCCUGAUGCAGCCAUGCCGCGUGUAUGAAGAAGGCCUUCGGGUUGUAAAGUACUUUCAGCGGGGAGGAAGGGAGUAAAGUUAAUACCUUUGCUCAUUGACGUUACCCGCAGAAGAAGCACCGGCUAACUCCGUGCCAGCAGCCGCGGUAAUACGGAGGGUGCAAGCGUUAAUCGGAAUUACUGGGCGUAAAGCGCACGCAGGCGGUUUGUUAAGUCAGAUGUGAAAUCCCCGGGCUCAACCUGGGAACUGCAUCUGAUACUGGCAAGCUUGAGUCUCGUAGAGGGGGGUAGAAUUCCAGGUGUAGCGGUGAAAUGCGUAGAGAUCUGGAGGAAUACCGGUGGCGAAGGCGGCCCCCUGGACGAAGACUGACGCUCAGGUGCGAAAGCGUGGGGAGCAAACAGGAUUAGAUACCCUGGUAGUCCACGCCGUAAACGAUGUCGACUUGGAGGUUGUGCCCUUGAGGCGUGGCUUCCGGAGCUAACGCGUUAAGUCGACCGCCUGGGGAGUACGGCCGCAAGGUUAAAACUCAAAUGAAUUGACGGGGGCCCGCACAAGCGGUGGAGCAUGUGGUUUAAUUCGAUGCAACGCGAAGAACCUUACCUGGUCUUGACAUCCACAGAACUUUCCAGAGAUGGAUUGGUGCCUUCGGGAACUGUGAGACAGGUGCUGCAUGGCUGUCGUCAGCUCGUGUUGUGAAAUGUUGGGUUAAGUCCCGCAACGAGCGCAACCCUUAUCCUUUGUUGCCAGCGGUCCGGCCGGGAACUCAAAGGAGACUGCCAGUGAUAAACUGGAGGAAGGUGGGGGUGACGUCAAGUCAUCAUGGCCCUUACGACCAGGGCUACACACGUGCUACAAUGGCGCAUACAAAGAGAAGCGACCUCGCGAGAGCAAGCGGACCUCAUAAAGUGCGUCGUAGUCCGGAUUGGAGUCUGCAACUCGACUCCAUGAAGUCGGAAUCGCUAGUAAUCGUGGAUCAGAAUGCCACGGUGAAUACGUUCCCGGGCCUUGUACACACCGCCCGUCACACCAUGGGAGUGGGUUGCAAAAGAAGUAGGUAGCUUAACCUUCGGGAGGGCGCUUACCACUUUGUGAUUCAUGACUGGGGUGAAGU
This 1457-nucleotide ribosomal RNA is filed under the name uncultured organism. RNAcentral's name for it is "16S ribosomal RNA". It matches the Rfam family "Bacterial small subunit ribosomal RNA". The record is from RNAcentral.